This 400-nucleotide ribosomal RNA is filed under the name uncultured bacterium. Its description in RNAcentral is "bacterial SSU rRNA". It matches the Rfam family "Bacterial small subunit ribosomal RNA", at positions 991 to 1395 of the family's 1533-position model. The record is from RNAcentral.
CUGAANAUCUAGAGAUUAGAUUGUCCCUUCGGGGCAGGAAGACAGGUGGUGCAUGGUUGUCGUCAGCUCGUGUCGUGAGAUGUUCGGUUAAGUCCGGCAACGAGCGCAACCCCUGUGGCCAGUUGCCAUCAUUCAAUUGGGCACUCUGGCAAGACUGCCGUUAAUAAAACGGAGGAAGGUGGGGAUGACAUCAAAUCAUCAUGCCCCUUAUGUCCUGGGCUUCACACGUACUACAAUGGGAACAACAGAGGGCAGCCACACCGCGAGGUGGAGCGAAUCCCAAAAUGUUAUCCCAGUUCGGAUUGCAGGCUGAAACUCCCCUGCAUGAAGCAGGAAUUGCUAGUAAUGGCAGGUCAUCAUACUGCCGUGAAUACGUUCCCGGGUCUUGUACACACCGACG